This 790-nucleotide ribosomal RNA is filed under the name uncultured Pelagibacteraceae bacterium. RNAcentral describes it as "bacterial SSU rRNA". It matches the Rfam family "Bacterial small subunit ribosomal RNA", at positions 50 to 888 of the family's 1533-position model. The record is from RNAcentral. Lineage: Bacteria; Pseudomonadati; Pseudomonadota; Alphaproteobacteria; Candidatus Pelagibacterales; Candidatus Pelagibacteraceae.
AAUACAUGCAAGUCGAACGAAGUAGCAAUACUUAGUGGCAGACGGGUGAGUAACAUGUGGGUAUCUUCCCUUUGGUGAGGAAUAACACGAGGAAACUUGUGCUAAUACCUCAUAAGUCUUUACGGAGAAAGCUUUAUGCGCCAUUGGAUGAGCCCGCACUUGAUUAGUUUGUUGGUGGGGUAAUGGCCUACCAAGACUUUGAUCAAUAGCUGAUUUGAGAGGAUGAUCAGCCACAUUGGGACUGAGACACGGCCCAAACUCCUACGGGAGGCAGCAGUAGGGAAUCUUGCACAAUGGAGGAAACUCUGAUGCAGCGAUGCCGCGUGAGUGAAGAAGGCCCUUGGGUUGUAAAGCUCUUUCGUCGGGGAAGAAAAUGACUGUACCCGAAUAAGAAGGUCCGGCUAACUUCGUGCCAGCAGCCGCGGUAAUACGAAGGGACCUAGCGUAGUUCGGAAUUACUGGGCUUAAAGAGUUCGUAGGUGGUUAAAAAAGUUGGUGGUGAAAUCCCAGAGCUUAACUCUGGAACUGCCAUCAAAACUUUUUAGCUAGAGUAUGAUAGAGGAAAGCAGAAUUUCUAGUGUAGAGGUGAAAUUCGUAGAUAUUAGAAAGAAUACCGAUUGCGAAGGCAGCUUUCUGGAUCAUUACUGACACUGAGGAACGAAAGCAUGGGUAGCGAAGAGGAUUAGAUACCCUCGUAGUCCAUGCCGUAAACGAUGUGUGUUAGACGUUGGAAAUUUAUUUUCAGUGUCGCAGCGAAAGCAAUAAACACACCGCCUGGGGAGUACGACCG